RNAcentral lists this ribosomal RNA (322 nucleotides) under uncultured Lachnospiraceae bacterium. RNAcentral's name for it is "bacterial SSU rRNA". It matches the Rfam family "Bacterial small subunit ribosomal RNA", at positions 28 to 339 of the family's 1533-position model. Lineage: Bacteria; Bacillati; Bacillota; Clostridia; Lachnospirales; Lachnospiraceae. The record is from RNAcentral.
GAUGAACGCUGGCGGCGUGCCUAACACAUGCAAGUCGAACGGGGUUAAGCAGAAAUUUUCGGAUGGAAGCUUAACUUAGUGGCGGACGGGUGAGUAACGCGUGGAUAACCUGCCUCACACAGGGGGAUAGCAGCUGGAAACGGCUGGUAAUACCGCAUAAGACUACGGAGCCGCAUGGCUUAGUGGUAAAAGAUUUAUCGGUGUGAGAUGGAUCCGCGUCUGAUUAGCCAGUUGGCGGGGUAACGGCCCACCAAAGCGACGAUCAGUAGCCGGCCUGAGAGGGUGAACGGCCACAUUGGGACUGAGACACGGCCCAAACUCC